AUUGAACGCUGGCGGCAUGCUUUACACAUGCAAGUCGAACGGUAACAGGCCGCAAGGUGCUGACGAGUGGCGAACGGGUGAGUAAUGCAUCGGAACGUGCCCAGUCGUGGGGGAUAACUACUCGAAAGAGUAGCUAAUACCGCAUACGAUCUAUGGAUGAAAGCGGGGGACCGUAAGGCCUCGCGCGAUUGGAGCGGCCGAUGUCAGAUCAGGUAGUUGGUGGGGUAAAGGCUCACCAAGCCAACGAUCUGUAGCUGAUCUGAGAGGACGACCAGCCACACUGGGACUGAGACACGGCCCAGACUCCUACGGGAGGCAGCAGUGGGGAAUUUUGGACAAUGGGCGCAAGCCUGAUCCAGCAAUGCCGCGUGCAGGAAGAAGGCCUUCGGGUUGUAAACUGCUUUUGUACGGAACGAAACGGCUCUGGUUAAUACCCGGGGCUAAUGACGGUACCGUAAGAAUAAGCACCGGCUAACUACGUG
RNAcentral lists this ribosomal RNA (482 nucleotides) under uncultured bacterium. RNAcentral describes it as "partial 16S ribosomal RNA". It matches the Rfam family "Bacterial small subunit ribosomal RNA", at positions 30 to 507 of the family's 1533-position model. The record is from RNAcentral.